This 830-nucleotide long non-coding RNA is filed under the name Linum usitatissimum (flax). Its description in RNAcentral is "long non-coding RNA (LUSI_LNC007431)". Lineage: Eukaryota; Viridiplantae; Streptophyta; Magnoliopsida; Malpighiales; Linaceae. The record is from RNAcentral.
UUGAUAUAAGCUAACAAAAAUAAACCCCAGGAAGGGGGAAGGAAAACAAAAAAGAAAACUAGUCUAAUAAUAAUGAUUAUAAUAGUAAUUUAAGCAGAAUGUGGGCAGAAUGGAGAAACUUGAGUAGGAAUCAAAUGAAGUGGAGCAAGGAGAAUAAAGGGUAAGGGAGACAGUGGAGCAGAAAUGGGGAUUAGGGUGAGAUCUGGGGAAUGGAGACUGGAGUGGAGUGGGCUUACCAAAUAAGCUUCUUCAACUGGUAAAAUAUUAGUUAAGUUGAUUAAAAAACGAAGAGAGGGGACAAUAGAAAGAAACCAUUUUUAAAUAAUAGUUAAGAAAAGAAGAGUAAGCAGCAGCAUUCCCAGCAGCAGCAAGGAGAAUGGCGAGAUUGUGGUUGUGAUCUUUGUUUCUACACCCACCCACCCACCCACUAUCUAGAGAUCUCAGACCUCUCCCUUCUCUACCGCUCUCUCUUUCUUUUCCUCUUGUCUGCAAUAAUGUUUCUUUUUCGUUAACAAAGACAAAUAAGAAAAGGAAAGAAGGAAAUAAAGGAAGGUUAAUAUUGAAUUGAAUGGAAUGGUGGCCUGCUGGUCUGCUGUUCUGGUUCUGUCUGGGGUUACCUACCUUUCGCUUUAGCUCGCUCUCUCUUCUUCCUCUUUUCCUUUUCUCGUCAACUUUUCUUUUUGACAGUAAUUGGUCUCUCUCAGGUAGUAGUAUAGUCAAGCUACAACUUCUGAUGAACCAACAAGAGUGCAGAUGAUGGCCCACAAGGUGGCCUCCACCCUUCUCUUGUUUUUGCUUUUUUCUGAACCUUGCCUGACUGAUAGACCGAC